Long non-coding RNA from Myxocyprinus asiaticus (Chinese sucker), 1348 nucleotides. RefSeq lists it as uncharacterized. The transcript has 8 exons. NCBI's taxonomy places the organism in Eukaryota, Metazoa, Chordata, Actinopteri, Cypriniformes, Catostomidae. The record is from RefSeq and is a predicted model, not a curated record.
CAGCUGCUGAAAGAGACUCCAGUGAUCUGAGCUGAGAUACGGUAGAUCACGUGACUACAGCCAGGCGCCAAGACUCAUGUGGUGUCAGUGGAUUACGCAGGUUCUCUUAGGUGUAAACACACCAGUGAUGCGGCCGACUUUCCUGGAGCCUCUGAAGUGACUUCCUGCUAAUCCAGCCACAUGUGCACCCAGACUGUAGCCAAUCAGAUGCACUUUAUCCAUGGAGAGCUGCACAGCUUCCUGUCAAGAGAGGAAGUGAUCCACUUGAGCAGCACGGCCACAUCCUGUCCCACCUGACGGCUGUUCUUGGCUGCGAUUGGAUAAGGCUGCAGGGCCAGAUUCCUCCAAUCACUGAUGAGCACAUUGACCUGACCAAUCCUGAUCUUCAGAGCAGAAGCCAACCUGAAGAUCCACUGUUCCAUGAUCCCAUUCAUCUGCAGAGAGAACAAAUGUCACGAAACAUCACAGCUGACAUCAUGUGAUGAAGGAUUUUAUUACCGUCCAUCCGUGUAUGAUCAGCACCAGUGGAUCACUUCUGUUGUAGCUGCAUCUGUCCAGGGUUUCAGAUCUGAAUGGAACGACAGUGCAGGUUUCUUCAAACACAUUUCCCUCGUGAUACACAUGGAAACUGGAUUUGACCAGCAGUGGAGUCUUCACAUGAUUCGAGAUCUGAAGUCAAGGUGUAAAUGAGACAUAAACAGGUCACGACCCUGCUAUAGAUCAACAUGAUUCAAUGAGAUGAUGGAAAAGUCCACUGGAUCUGUUGGGAAUUUUCUGCUCUUGUGGGAGAGAGAAUGUCGCCCGCUCGAGGGAGGAACCUGUUUUAAGAGCUGCUGAAGGCUGCUGUCCUCGUCUUCAUCAUCGUCCUCCUCCUCUUCCUCGGGUUCUUCAUGAGAUUUGUCCGUGUGAUUGGAGUGAUGCAACUCAAUCAACAGGAAGUAGAUGAUCGCUCCAGCCACACCCCCCACCAGCGGUCCCGCCACGGGAAUCCACCACCAGUAAUCAGCAGUACUGCACGGUGAAGAGCCGCGGCCCGAGAUCUCGUGCGGGAUUCAGAGGGUAACCGCAGUUCAGGCCCAUAGAAACACUGAUGCCCAGAAGAAUCAGACCGAUGGCCAGAGGCUCCACACCUUUAGGAGCGCCGAUGUUCCUCCCAUCAAUGAUGGCCAGAAUACACAGAACCAGCAUUCCUGUGCAGACGACCUGACAGACGCACGAGUCAUCAGGAUGAAGCAACAGGAUGUGAAGUUUAGCGAUUUGUGUGCAGUGUUUUCAUUGGAACAGACUCACCGUAAUAGAGUCCAAACACUCCGGCCGCUCCAGCGAACGCUCCCAGCAGCUGAGCGAG